CCUUGAUGAAAUUUGAGCAGUUACACAAAAUCUCAGCAUGAUUAAUUAUCAGUAAUGUUGUAGCUGGACAAUUAGUGCCAAGAUGUUAAAAAUUAUUCAGUGCUUUCUUAUGUUCACAGUAAAUAAUUUGUCCAUCACAGGAAUAACUCACUCAUAGAUUCAAGACGGAUUCAACAAAGAUAUCUAGUCCACAGUAUAUCGAUGACUUUCAAAAUAACCACAUAAAAUAGCAACAAACUUUCGACAGCUUUUUUUCCCUCUAAUUUGUACAAAUAUACCUACUAUAUGCCAGUUAGCAGAAUUAAUUUAUUGAGAUUUAAUUAAUUUGUUAGUUUAUUUGCAUGUUGGUUGUCACAUACACAACAUGAG
Pelobates cultripes (western spadefoot toad) is the source of this 369-nucleotide non-coding RNA. Lineage: Eukaryota; Metazoa; Chordata; Amphibia; Anura; Pelobatidae. The record is from the annotation of a GenBank genome assembly.